AUGGCUUUUGACCUUGCAGCGGCGGCAGCGGCAGUGCCAUGGAGCUACCUCCUGUACGGGCUCACGGGCUCUGCGCUCCUGUGGCAGGCCCGCCUGCUGCUGGACCGGCUGUGGUGGCGCCCGCGGCGGCUUGAGCGGACGCUGCGCGCGCAGGGCGUCGGCGGCACGCCGUACCGCUUCCUCAUGGGCGACCUCAAGGACUUCGGCCGGCUCAACGACGAGGCCUGGGCCAAGCCAUUGCCGCUGCGCUGCCACGACAUCGUCCCCCGCGUCAUCCCGUUCCUCCACAACAACGUCCGGGACAACGGCAAGCCGUGCUUCUCUUGGUUCGGACCGGUGGCCAACGUGGCCAUCACUGACCCUGAGCUUAUCAAGGACGUGCUGUCCAACAAGUUUGGCCACUUCCAGAAGCCCCAGUUCCCGGCUCUCACCAAGCUGCUCGCCAACGGCCUCACGACCCAUGAGGGGGAGAAAUGGGUCAAGCACAGGAGGAUCCUCAAUCCCGCUUUCCAUCUUGAGAAGCUCAAGCUCAUGCUACCGGCUUUUUCUGCAAGCUGUGAAGAGCUUGUCACCAGAUGGAAGGAGUUGCAUUGUUCUGGCGGAUCGUGCGAGGUGGAUGUGUGGCCGGAGCUCCAGAACCUCACCGGGGAUGUCAUUUCUCGCACAGCUUUCGGCAGCAGUUAUCUCGAAGGAAGGCGGAUAUUCCAACUGCAGUCCGAGCAAGCUAAGCUCUUUGUUGGUGCGGUCCAGAGGAUUAUUAUUCCGGGUUACCUAUUCUUGCCCACCAAGAACAAUUUGAAAAUGCGCAAAAACAAUAAGGAGGUUGAAUCAGUUUUACAAGGUCUAAUCAAUAAAAGAAUGCGAGCUAUGGAAGAAGGUGAAAAAUCGGAAAAUGAUCUGCUAGGCCUGUUGCUAGAGUCAAAUAUGAAGGACAUGGACGAGAAUGGCCAACCUAGCCAAGGAAUGGCAAUGGAAGAUGUCAUCGAGGAGUGCAAACUAUUCUACUUGGCAGGAAUGGAGACAACGUCGGUGCUGCUCACGUGGACAAUGAUUGUACUAAGCAUGCAUCCGGAGUGGCAAGACCUUGCGAGGGAGGAGGUCCUAGGUUUAUUUAGGAAGAACAAACCCGAGUACGAGGGCCUUAGCCGACUAAAAACGGUGACCAUGAUCCUUCACGAGGUUCUUCGGUUGUAUCCAUCGGCUACAGUUUUUAGCCGAAAAACAUACAAGGAUAUGGAUAUCGGAGGGGUCAGAUACCCCUCGGGUGUGUUCAUCGAGGUGCCAGUUCUAUUUAUCAAUCAUGAUCCAGACAUAUGGGGAAGUGAUGUCAAUGAGUUCAAACCAGACCGAUUUGCCCAGGGGAUUUCCAAGGCAUCUAAGCAUCCGGGCGCCUUCUUGUCAUUUGGUUGGGGGCCACGGGUGUGCAUCGGCCAGAACUUUGCAAUGCUCGAAGCCAAGAUGGCACUAAGCAUGAUCCUUCAGCAUUUCGAGUUUGAGCUCGCGCCAUCAUAUACGCAUGCACCGCACACCGUGAUGACAUUGCAACCAAUGCAUGGUGCGCAAAUUAAGCUCAGAGCUAUCUGA
RNAcentral lists this ribosomal RNA (1584 nucleotides) under Triticum aestivum (bread wheat). Its description in RNAcentral is "partial small subunit ribosomal RNA". The record is from RNAcentral. Lineage: Eukaryota; Viridiplantae; Streptophyta; Magnoliopsida; Poales; Poaceae.